Molecule: long non-coding RNA, 715 nt
Organism: Xiphophorus hellerii (green swordtail)
Lineage: Eukaryota; Metazoa; Chordata; Actinopteri; Cyprinodontiformes; Poeciliidae
Exons: 2
Source: RefSeq, a predicted model, not a curated record
ACGGUCCGCCUUGCCCUGCCUCGAACUAUGAAGAUUCACCCCUCGUUCCACGUGUCCCGAAUUAAACCUGUCGUCUCUAGUCCCCUUUGUCCCCCCGUCCCCUCGCCCCCUCCUCCGAGGAUUGUUGACGGCGGCCCUGCUUACACUGUUCGCCGUCUCCUGGAUGUGCGCCGUCGGGGGCGUGGUCUGCAGUUCCUGGUGGACUGGGAGGGGUAUGGUCCUGAGGAGCGGAGCUGGGUGGCGCGUUCUGCUAUCCUGGACCCCCAGCUUGUCCGGGACUUCUACCAUCGUCGGGGAGGUCGUCGGUUGUCCUGAGGGGCGCCUUGAGGGGGGGGACCUGUCACAGCUGCUGUUGUGCAGUGACCACUCGCACCUGAUCGUCAUCCUCCUGAGCUCCAGCUGCUGCCAUAUAAGGACGGAACUCUCCCUGCACGGCGUCAGAUUGUUGUGAAACCCUCAGCGCGAUCCCUCUCCUGUCCCUGAUCCCUGACCCUCUCUGUUGGAAAAGGACCUCCUGGCUUCGACCCCCCCCCCGGCCUGUCUGACCGGAUACCCGUUUCGACCUGGGCUCUGGACCCGCGGGCUCGGAUCCCCUGUUUGCCCGGCCCGAAGAUCAGGGGCCGCCUGAUCCUGAAUUGAUUCCCUGGUUCUGACCCUGGCCUGUCUGACUAAGAGUUUGUCGACCUCCCAAUAAAUACCUGGUUGUAAUUUUCUG